Molecule: ribosomal RNA, 254 nt
Filed under: uncultured bacterium
Lineage: Bacteria
Description: partial 16S ribosomal RNA
Rfam family: Bacterial small subunit ribosomal RNA
Source: RNAcentral
UACGUAGGGGGCGAGCGUUGUCCGGAGUUACUGGGCGUAAAGGGCGUGCAGGCGGUGCGGUAAGUUUAGCGUGACAGUCUCCGGCUUAACUGGAGAAGGCCGCUGAAAACUGCUGGACUUGAGGGCCAGAGAGGGACAUAGAAUUCCGGGUGGAGUGGUGAAAUGCGUAGAUAUCCGGAGGAAUACCAAAGGCGAAGGCAGUGUCCUGGCUGGCAACUGACGCUGAGGCGCGAAAGCUAGGGGAGCGAAACAGG